AUGGGACACGGCACGGGGACGCUGGCACAGGACAGGGGGCACGGGCACGGGGACAUGGGGCACUGGCAUGGCACAGGAAUUGGGGACAGAGGGCACGGGGAUGGUGCAAUGGGGCACGGAAAGGGGACGUGGGGUGCUGGCACAGCACGAGGAUGGGGACAAGGGACGUGGCAAAGGGACGGGGACAUAGGACACCGGCACGGCAAACGGCUGGGGGUCCCCGGGUGCUGGCACAGCACGGGGACAAGAACACGGGGCACAGCAAAGGGACGGGGACAGCGGGGCUGGCAUGGCACGGGGACAGGGACACAGCACGCGGCACAGAUGGGGGACACGGGGUGCUGGCACGGCCAAGGGAUGGCACCUCGGGCGCUGGCACGGCCCCGAGAUGAGGACGCGGGGCAUGGCAGGGGGACAGGGACCGGGGUGACAAUGGGGGACAGGACAAAGGGACGGGGACCCGUUCUGGGAGGGGGGGUUAUGGUACUCACCCGCGUAGGGGACGGUUUUUCGGGGCACGGCGCUCCACGAGGACCCCGGGGUGGCGCUGGGGACGAGUGCCAGCAGCGAGGCGAGGGCCAGCAGCGAGCGGGGGGCCAUGGUGCCGNNNNNNNNNNGGGGGGGCGGCUGUUGGGGGGGGGAAACGGGUUGGGGGGGGGACACCCAGCCCUGGUCAGGGUUACGGGGCGUCACCCCCGGCGGUGGCGGCGUCACGCGGGCGGCGCGGGGACAAGGCGGGCAUUGAGGGCCGCGCGUCACGAGGCCGGGGCACCCCACGCGGGACGGGGUGGGGGGGACACGAGGCGUGGGGUCAGGGUCCUGGGGGGGCCUCUCUGGGACCCCCGUGGGCGUGCGGCCCCCCCUGGGCUCAAUCUGUCCCGGUGGCAGAGACCCCUCCCCGCUCCCUGCCGGGGUCUGGGUGCCCCCCAAGCCUCUCCCUACCCUGAUGGGGGGGUGCAGCCCGCGGUGCCCCCCACCCGCUCCGUCCCCGCGGUCACUCCUCCGGCCACUUCCCGCCCUGACGCAUCCAGGCGGGUCCGGGGGGGGCCACGCAGGAGGAAACGGGCCCUUCCUCUUCNNNNNNNNNNGUGGGCAUGGUUGGGGUGUCACGGGCACAGAUCCCAGGGCCAAGAGCAGGGGCAGGGUGCCACGGGCAAAACCGGAGAGCCAGGGGCACCGUCAGGGUGCCAGGGACACUGUCGGGGUGCCAGGGGCACAGCCCCAGAGCUAAGAGCAGGGUCACGGUGCCACGGGGAAAACCAGGGUGCCACGGGCACUGUCGGGGUGCCACAGGCACAAUCGGGGUGCCAUGGGCACAGUCAGGGUGCCAUGGGUAUGGUUGGGGUGCCACGGGCACAGCCCCAUGGCUGA
Molecule: long non-coding RNA, 1371 nt
Filed under: Anas zonorhyncha (Eastern spot-billed duck)
Lineage: Eukaryota; Metazoa; Chordata; Aves; Anseriformes; Anatidae
Description: lncRNA (ENSAZOG00000012979.1)
Source: RNAcentral